RNAcentral lists this ribosomal RNA (229 nucleotides) under uncultured bacterium. Its description in RNAcentral is "partial 16S ribosomal RNA". It matches the Rfam family "Bacterial small subunit ribosomal RNA", at positions 568 to 796 of the family's 1533-position model. The record is from RNAcentral.
UCCGUAGGCGGGCGUCUAAGUCAGUGGUUAAAUCUUACAGCUCAACUGUAAAAUUGCCAUUGAUACUGGAUGUCUUGAAUUAGUGUGAAGUGGUUAGAAUGUGUAGUGUAGCGGUGAAAUGCAUAGAUAUUACACAGAAUACCAAUUGCGAAGGCAGAUCACUAACACUAUAUUGAAGCUGAGGGACGAAAGCGUGGGGAGCGAACAGGAUUAGAUACCCUGGUAGUCC